This 70-nucleotide transfer RNA is filed under the name Microtus obscurus (Altai voie). RNAcentral's name for it is "tRNA-Thr". Lineage: Eukaryota; Metazoa; Chordata; Mammalia; Rodentia; Cricetidae. The record is from RNAcentral.
GUCCUGAUAGUAUAAAUAUUACGCUGGUCUUGUAAACCAGUAAUGAAAAAAAACCUAUUUUCUCAGGACA